This 330-nucleotide unclassified non-coding RNA is filed under the name soil metagenome. Its description in RNAcentral is "partial contains 5.8S ribosomal RNA, internal transcribed spacer 2, and large subunit ribosomal RNA". The stretch from base 1 to 120 matches the Rfam family "5.8S ribosomal RNA", at positions 35 to 154 of the family's 154-position model. The record is from RNAcentral.
GAUGAAGAACGUAGUGAAAUGCGAUAAGUAAUGUGAAUUGCAGAAUUCAGUGAAUCAUCGAAUCUUUGAACGCACAUUGCGCCCCCUGGUAUUCCGGGGGGCAUGCCUGUUCGAGCGUCAUUUCACCACUCAAGCCUCGCUUGGUAUUGGGCAACGCGGUCCGCCGCGUGCCUCAAAUCGACCGGCUGGGUCUUCUGUCCCCUAAGCGUUGUGGAAACUUUCGCUAAAGGGUGUUCGGGAGGCUACGCCGUAAAACAACCCCAUUUCUAAGGUUGACCUCGGAUCAGGUAGGGAUACCCGCUGAACUUAAGCAUAUCAAUAAGCGGAGGA